This 737-nucleotide long non-coding RNA is filed under the name Fukomys damarensis (Damara mole-rat). RNAcentral's name for it is "lncRNA (ENSFDAG00000023219.1)". The record is from RNAcentral. Lineage: Eukaryota; Metazoa; Chordata; Mammalia; Rodentia; Bathyergidae.
GCAUUUUCUGCAGCUCAGUACCCUCUUUUGGGAACCCAUCCAAGCCUCAGGGGCUCAGGGCCGCCGGGAGGCAGAGGCCAGGGUGACUUCAAUAAAACCUGCUGGGAUUAGUGACCGGCUGAGACGUCAGUUUUGACACCCACGACCUGUAUCUAGUAUCUUCAGUAAACCUCUAAGACCGGUGGCUUUCCACCAUCAAAGUGAGUUUCCUCGGGCAUCCUCUUUUUGUCGGCCAUUCCCUCUGCAGUUUCUCCUGUUGUUUUCUGCGGAAAUGACCAUCUGGCGGGACUUCCUACUCAUGACCACGAGAGGGCACAAGAUUUCCAGCUCUCGAGGUUUGUUCCACAGCCAAUUCCUGGGGCUUUGCUACAUGAAAGGACAGUUUCUGUGUUUGUUGGUUUGUUUGCGCCCCCCGCCCCGAAACAGGGAGAAAGCACUAGAGGUUCCCCGGAUACAGCUAAGACAUUUUCUACAGCAUUCAUCUGUGAAAUGCUGGCUGCAAGCAGCAGACAUUGGGAGGUGGGAGGAAGGACUCGGUUCUUCCCAUCUCUCAUUUCCACCGAGGGGAGAAGCGCUUGCAGAACGCUGCACAAGAUCUGGGGGAGAAACCAUAAAGACAAAAACCGAAGAAAUCUGGGCCACAGGAACAAUAUCUUACCUUGGAUAUCAUCUGAGAAUACUCUGACAACUGGUUUGUGAAGCACUUGCAGACCGUAAGCAGACUUUCAAAAUUCCUG